Molecule: ribosomal RNA, 207 nt
Filed under: uncultured bacterium
Lineage: Bacteria
Description: partial 16S ribosomal RNA
Rfam family: Bacterial small subunit ribosomal RNA
Source: RNAcentral
UGCGUAGGCGGUCGGGUAAGUCUGGUGUGAAAUCUCAGAGCUCAACUCUGAAACUGCAUUGGAUACUAUUCGGCUUGAGGUCUGGAGGGGGGACUGGAAUUCUCGGUGUAGCAGUGAAAUGCGUAGAUAUCGAGAGGAACACCAGUGGCGAAGGCGAGUCCCUGGACAGGUCCUGACGCUGAGGCACGAAAGCUAGGGGAGCAAACA